ACAUUUCCUUGUUUAAUGUUUUGCUGCCUUUUUAAUUGUAAGAAAAGAAAAUUGAUGUGAUUUUUACUAUUACAAGAUCAAAGCUAUAGAUUUAUAAAACUACAAGUGGGUUUUUUUAAUUCGAAAUACCGAUUUCCAAAUAAAAUUUGCAAUACCGAUUUACAAAUCAAUAAACUUGUCUAAGAGAUAUGCUUAAGAGAUUAUUAUUUUUUUUUAAUAUAACUCUGCCGGAGAGAGGUUCUUAUACCAAUCUUUUAGAGAGAUCCCCACUUAAUAUCAUUGUCUGGGUUGUUCGGAAUAGCCUUAAAUAUUAUCCUUGAACAGUUCAAGCAUACAUCAAUGUUAGUAGAGUUCUCAGCAUUGGUUUGCUCUAUUUUUAUUGAAUGUAUAACAUCAUCAAACAUGGAAACAUUUCCUUGUUUAAUGUUUUGCUGCCUUUUUAAUUGUAAGAAAAAAGUGUUAGUUAUAAAUUUUCCUGCUUGUUCCAAAUCUAAACAAACAUAUAUGCCACAGGAAAAAAUUAUUUUGUACAUAGAUCACCUUUUCAGGAGCCAUUAGCAACUGGCAGAGUAUCAUUUUCUCUCUUCCCUUAUCUUCAUAAAUUAUACUCUGUUCGCCACUGGGAUUUAAAAGGGCUAUUCCGAGAUCAAAUUUUAUGCCAUUAACCUCGUCUAAAAUGGUGCUAAUUUAAAUGAGAUGUUGCAUAAAUUUUUUUUUUUCAUAACGAUAUUAGUGUGAUAACUAAAUGGCCUUUGGUAACUCGAUAUCGGUUGGCAUCUAUCUCGAUACAUCAUCCCCUACACGUGUAUUACACGAAUUACACGAAUCGCCAUUGUUUAGCAAACGUGAAGUUAAUUAAGUAUUAACGGGGAUUAAUAAUCGUAGAAAACGUAUAACAUUUUAACCCCUUUUCCCUCCCUCUAUCAAAAUAUGCUUCUUAUGACUGAAGGGAUAGAGUUUUAAGCCAACUGAGUGUUCGUCAGGCAUGUUAACGUCCAUAAUAGUCACCUGAAUUGUAUUAAUCGUAUUGAAUGGUGGCGAUAAUGAGAAACGCUUUACCUUAGUUUGAUACAUAUCCAGGUAAUUUGCAGACUUAUUUUUCUAUGAGAUGCCAUAGGAUCUUAUAGAAUGUGAAAUGGCAUCUUUCUCUGUUUUACUCUAUUGCUUGGUUUCUGAUUAUUGUUAAGGUAUAAUUGAUCAGAAUGCUAUAAAUUACGUUUAACUCUUACGCAUUAAAACAUAGCACAUAGCCUUGUCUAUGUAUGAGCAAGAUAAAUGAAGAGCAUCAUCAUCACUAGUACAGUCUGCUUAAGUUUGCAUUUUCUCUCAGCGAUAUUCAUUAAUAUAACCGCAUGUUUACCGUUUCUGUACACCACUAAGGUUUUUACGUGAGUAGUUUUGUAUAGUAUAUCAGAUAAAGUGAUACGCGAUUCUCAUUCUUUACCAUUAUAUGAAUGUCAAACGUAUAGCAUGCUACAUUCUAUCAAGAGUGAUAAUUGUAUACGUUCUACAACCGACCCGUACGUGAAGGACAUUGUUAAACAUUUUAUACAAACUGCCGUUCUAAGAUUAACACACUGCUAGGAAGCAAAACAUACAUCAAAUUACACGCAAAGAGAGGAUACAGGAGCGUACUUACGAACUCUCUAUCUUCUCAAGAGUUUCGUUAUUGCAUACAAAGCUUUUAAACAUCCUUACUCGGUUUUCUCCUUCGGAUUAUGUAUUUUUUUUUUUACUUUGCAAUGCGAAUUUUCUCACUUAUCCGGAAUUAAACUGUAUGUUACCAUUGUAGUUUUAUUAAAGAAUUUCUCACAUUCCCGCUCGGAUAUCAUAACUGCUUACAUUGAACUUUGAAGUAACAAGCUACUCUAUCAAACACAAAUAAGGUCUCAUGUAAAGUAAUAAGAGUAAUGUAUUCGUAAGGGAAAUGUGUUUCGUGCAUGAAAUUUUCACUUCAUGCAUUAUUAAUGCACUGUAACUCGGGCCUUUUUGGUUCGAUGUACGUAUUGCAGCAUUGUAAACUACUAAAUCGUCGUACAUCGGAAAAGAAGACGUCGUAAAAAAAAGGCCUAAGAGGGAAUACUGUCACUUUUCAUAAAAGAAGAAAAGGAUUGAACAGUCCCUUAAGCUAUUUGUAUCCAGCAAUUCGCUAUUUUUGUUAUUAUUAUUUUUUUUUUUGUAACCCCAUCUUAGUCGAAAGUUUUAAAACCU
RNAcentral lists this long non-coding RNA (2211 nucleotides) under Androctonus crassicauda. The record is from RNAcentral. Lineage: Eukaryota; Metazoa; Arthropoda; Arachnida; Scorpiones; Buthidae.